AAUUAAAUAGGUGAUGGAGUUCGCCAUUAACUGCUAUUAUGCUAAUGACUCCUACAUAAUU
Regulatory RNA element from Pseudobacteroides cellulosolvens, 61 nucleotides. It matches the Rfam family "Fluoride riboswitch aptamer (crcB RNA motif)". NCBI's taxonomy places the organism in Bacteria, Bacillati, Bacillota, Clostridia, Eubacteriales, Oscillospiraceae. The record is from Rfam.